UGAGGAAUAUUGGUCAAUGGGCGAGAGCCUGAACCAGCCAAGUAGCGUGAAGGAUGAAGGCUCUAUGGGUCGUAAACUUCUUUUAUAUGGGAAUAAAGUUUUCCACGUGUGGAAUUUUGUAUGUACCAUAUGAAUAAGGAUCGGCUAACUCCGUGCCAGCAGCCGCGGUAAUACGGAGGAUCCAAGCGUUAUCCGGAUUUAUUGGGUUUAAAGGGUGCGUAGGCGGGCCCUUAAGUCAGUGGUGAAAGUUUGCAGCUUAACUGUAAAAUUGCCAUUGAAACUGAGGGUCUUGAGUGUAAAUAAGGUAGGCGGAAUGUGUUGUGUAGCGGUGAAAUGCUUAGAUAUAACACAGAACACCAAUUGCGAAGGCAGCUUACUGGGAUACAACUGACGCUGAGGCACGAAAGCGUGGGGAUCAAACA
This 422-nucleotide ribosomal RNA is filed under the name uncultured prokaryote. RNAcentral's name for it is "bacterial SSU rRNA". It matches the Rfam family "Bacterial small subunit ribosomal RNA", at positions 355 to 774 of the family's 1533-position model. The record is from RNAcentral.